Molecule: ribosomal RNA, 423 nt
Filed under: uncultured bacterium
Lineage: Bacteria
Description: partial 16S ribosomal RNA
Rfam family: Bacterial small subunit ribosomal RNA
Source: RNAcentral
AAUUUUCGGCAAUGGGGGCAACCCUGACCGAGCGACGCCGCGUGAGUGAAGAAGGUCUUCGGAUUGUAAAGUUCUGUUGUUAGGGAAGAAUAAGUGCCAUUCAAAUAGGUUGGCACCUUGACGGUACCUGACUAGAAAGCCCCGGCUAACUACGUGCCAGCAGCCGCGGUAAUACGUAGGUGGCAAGCGUUGUCCGGAUUUAUUGGGCGUAAGGCGCGCGCAGGCGGUCUUUUAAGUCUGAUGUGAAAUCUUACAGCUUAACUGUAAGCGGUCAUUGGAAACUGGGAGACUUGAGUGCAGAAGAGGAGAGUGGAAUUCCAUGUGUAGCGGUGAAAUGCGUAGAGAUAUGGAGGAACACCAGUGGCGAAGGCGACUCUCUGGUCUGUAACUGACGCUGAGGCGCGAAAGCGUGGGGAUCAAACA